UACGUACGAGGCGAGCGUUAUCCGGAAUUACUGGGCGUAAAGCGCGCGCAGGUGGCCAAUUAAGUCCGCUGUGAAAUCUCCCGGCCCAACUGGGAGGGGCCAGUGGAUACUGGAUGGCUUGAGGGCAGCAGAGGUCGGUGGAAUUCCUGGUGUAGUGGUGAAAUGCGUAGAGAUCAGGAGGAACACCGGUGGCGAAGGCGGCCGACUGGGCUGCCACUGACGCUGAGGCGCGAAAGCUCGGGGAGCGAACGGG
This 253-nucleotide ribosomal RNA is filed under the name uncultured bacterium. RNAcentral's name for it is "partial 16S ribosomal RNA". It matches the Rfam family "Bacterial small subunit ribosomal RNA", at positions 524 to 776 of the family's 1533-position model. The record is from RNAcentral.